GCGUCUGUAGCCUAGUUGGUAAAGGCAGCACUCUAGUAUGUGUCUCAGCAUAGCUGAGGUCGUGAGUUCGACUCUCACCAGACACA
This is a transfer RNA of Puccinia triticina 1-1 BBBD Race 1, 86 nucleotides long. It matches the Rfam family "tRNA". From Rfam's summary of the family: Transfer RNA (tRNA) molecules are approximately 80 nucleotides in length. Their secondary structure includes four short double-helical elements and three loops (D, anti-codon, and T loops). Further hydrogen bonds mediate the characteristic L-shaped molecular structure. tRNAs have two regions of fundamental functional importance: the anti-codon, which is responsible for specific mRNA codon recognition, and the 3' end, to which the tRNAs corresponding amino acid is attached (by aminoacyl-tRNA synthetases). tRNAs cope with the degeneracy of the genetic code in two manners: having more than one tRNA (with a specific anti-codon) for a particular amino acid; and 'wobble' base-pairing, i.e. permitting non-standard base-pairing at the 3rd anti-codon position. NCBI's taxonomy places the organism in Eukaryota, Fungi, Basidiomycota, Pucciniomycetes, Pucciniales, Pucciniaceae. The record is from Rfam.